CUAAAAUAUUCCUAAUUUUAGCAUUAGUGAUAUAAAUAUUCGUGAUUAACAUUAAAGAACACAAAUAUUUCUAAUUCUAACAACAAUAAAUAAACCAAUAAAAAAAACAACUUUUAUAUAUAUUUUUUUAAUAGGUAUCAACCUAGACCCAAAAAAAAAAAAAAAAUCCUCAUUCCGCAAAUAUUCAAAUUAUUUCAAAAUCAAUAGUACACCAUACCAAAUUAAUAGUCCAAAUAUCAUUCAGGAAUAACAAACACCUUUGUUCCAAAUUCGCAAUAUAUAAUCAAUUUGUUCAAAAAUGGUUUGAGGUCAUGAAUUGACCUUCCGAGGUGUUUAGUAUGUCCACGGUAUACUGAAAUGGGGUCCAAAGCGUUGCUGGAACAGUGCUGGGAAGCUCCUAAGUCAAGGGAAAAAGUGGCGGCGCGUGGCUUCACGCUCCGCCGUAAAAAAACCAGGAACGAGUGGGUCUCGAUUGGCUUCUUCCCCUCUUCCCUUUCCUACCGGCGGUGGCUUUCACCGUGACCUGCAAAGAGAAAAACGCAACAAGCAGUCGAUUUUAUUUCUUUACUUUUUACAGAUCUAUUCCCUUCGUUUUCUCAAACAAUUUCUUCUCUUUCUUCCGGUGGCCAAGGUGCUGGUGAUGGUAGGUUUCGGUCCAGAUCUGUGUCACUGUGGGGGGGGGGGCGAAUCGGGGUUAUGGAGAGGCUGAUGUUGCUGUUGCUGCGGUCUUCGUCGGUUGAGUGGAGAUGGGUAAUUAGAUCUGAGAGAGAAUUUUGUUCUUCGGAUCCAAGUGAAAUUUGGUUUUCAGUUGGGGUUCGGUAGAGAGAAAAGGGGGAUGCUCUGGUUUGCGGGUAGUGAGAGAAGAUUUGAAGGAGAAAAGCAAGAGAAGUGAGGGGAGGCGCUCCCUCUGCGAUUCUAGGCCGGGGAAGACAAGUGGGGAAGAUGAAGGGGGCGGCGGCUUCUAGUAUUGGGUGUUGAUUUCUCCGGGGGUACCAGAAAAAUUGGGAAAAGACAGGGGCUUCUGGUUCCUGUGAGGGUUCCUGGAAAUGGAGACGAAUGUCGUUGGCCAGGAGUGGGAGAAGAGAGGUUGGUGUGGGGUCCUAUGGCCGGUUCUCGAAGAGACUAUCAAAAACAGGGGCGGCGGCUUAUCUUAGAGGAUGAUUAUUUUUCUUUAAGGUUUGCCGCCCCUGUUUUCUUAUGUCUUUCCUAGUUUUCCUUUUUUAAUGUCCCCCUGGUUUUCUUGUAAUGAUCUUCCCUUGAGUGCAUGCACUAGAAUAGUAGAAUUUAUAUUUACAGUCCAAGAAUCUCAUCUCUUGAACAAAUUUAUUAUUUUUUUAAAAUUUUAAUUUGAUUAAAAAUUAAAUUUAAAAGUAGAUAAUUAUUAUUAUCUUGAUAAUAAAGAUAAAAUAGUAAAAACACACUGUAAUACAUAAUUUUCGUAUAAUUUGAUAAAUCACAC
RNAcentral lists this long non-coding RNA (1459 nucleotides) under Populus trichocarpa (black cottonwood). RNAcentral describes it as "long non-coding RNA (PTRI_LNC001108)". Lineage: Eukaryota; Viridiplantae; Streptophyta; Magnoliopsida; Malpighiales; Salicaceae. The record is from RNAcentral.